This is a long non-coding RNA of Mustela erminea (ermine), 389 nucleotides long. RefSeq lists it as uncharacterized. Lineage: Eukaryota; Metazoa; Chordata; Mammalia; Carnivora; Mustelidae. The transcript is spliced from 3 exons. The record is from RefSeq and is a predicted model, not a curated record.
CUGCAGGCUGGUUUCUUCUGACCCAGCUCUGGAAAACCUGUCUCAAGGAGAUCAGAGGAGGCAUGGGAGGUCGUUCAGAAUUGGCUUUGUGGACUGUUUUUCUUCCUGAGGCACUGAAAUACUCCUUUUGGUAACUUUCACCUGCUGGGGCUACUCCUCUCUCCUAGAGUGAUCCAAGUGAAGAAACUGUGAUUUGUUGAGACUGAAGAAAUGAGGCAAAACCAGGACCAAGCUGUCUACCUCCAAGACUGUAAUCUUGUCCACUCAGCUCUACUGCCCUGUGCUCUAUGAUAAGGAAUGAGCUCAACCCACCUGACUCCCAGCCUGCCUGGACUCUGGGAUGUAUCUUGUCUGUGAAGUAUAAUUUCUAAAAUCAGAUUAAAUCUGAC